CGCCGGGUCCCGCGGAAACCGCAGCUUCGCAGGCAGCGGGGGCCCCUCCCGGGAGAGGCGCCGCCGGAAUCCGGGACAGGGUGGGGCCGCGAGGACGGCGAGCAGACCCUUCCCUUGUCGGGCCUGACCGCCGAAGGGGAGCAGAGCCGCACUUCGCACCGAGCCUUUCAUGUUCAUGGUCGCGUGGAUCCUCUCCUUUGUCGAGCAGUUUUUCAGCCAGAGCGGUUUACAAAGGGCUCAUUUCCUCGGGAUGCGGGGCAGAACUGAAAGUGCACUUCGUGGGGCUCGGUCUCCAUUUUGACUAAAUCAAAAUUUUUAUCAAGUGCUUCUCUAUGUAUUGAGACAUACACUUCACUAUCAGAGCAGUGACUCCACUCGGCCCUGUAGCGGCAUUGACCCCGACCAUGUGGAUGGCUGUGGAGAGACCUUUGGAAUGUUUGGCCACGUUGGCUUCAGCGGGCUGAAUUGUGGUCCCAGGUGCUGUGCAUCUGCAGUGUGAACGUUCCUGUCACUGAUGACCGCGGGCGACCCAUUUGCCCUGCUUUGGUGUUGUUGAGCCGGGCAAUGCCUCAGGGGGACCAAAUGGCAGGGAGAAUUGACUUUUGAGUUCAAAGUUUGUUUCAAAACAGAUGGGUCUUGCGGACAAUGCCCACCUCUGAGUAGCACCUGUUGUCGUCUCAGGCCUGAGCACAUCCAUCUCAGCACCUAGUUUGCGAUACUGACCCCCUUCGUUGCUGGGCUGCCUGGUGGGCAGAAGAGGGGGUGACCCGUGUCAUGGCUCACUGUUCAUGUCCCUACUUUUGCAUCCAGUUCCUUUCCAGUGGCUUAGAGAGUGACAUGCGUGUUACUGGAAGACAUGUGUCCGUUUCUUUCCCGAACCUGUAAACAGUGUUUUCUCCUUUCCCUCCCAGCUUUGCUGAGCCAAUUUUAUCAGCUGCCCUGCCUGCAGCUACCUCCCCAUCGGGAGGGGAAAGUGGAGAACACGUCCUGCUUUAGCAACCCCAACACGCCCGUGGUUCACGCUUCCCGACAGACCACCACCACCAGCAGCACUUUACCAGAACAGAGCCCCAAGUUCUGCGUCCCCUACUGGCCCCAGGGCACGUCCUGUGGGGGUGGGGGGUCAGCAGUAUGCUUUCACCGAAGCUGAGAAAUGAGUCGCAGUGCCCACUUCUGCAGCUGUCAUCCGGAAGGGAAUGGGAUCUUGGGUGCAGGUGGAAACUGUGCCCCACCAUAGAUUCAUGGUCCUAGAUGUUUCCCCCUCACCCUCUGAACUCAAGGCUUCACUACAGCAAUUUUGAGUUCCACAGGUGGGGUGUAGGAGUUACAGUCCCUGCUCUCCACUGGGGCCAGCUCAACACCUUUGCAAGGGGUUCGUGCUAAACUUGUGUGCAGUCCUAAACUGGCCUCAUCUCUGUCCUGAAUAUUUGGAUGAUACUUGACCCCAGCUUCCUGGAGGGAGCGCUAGAUCUUGACUGCCCUUGUGCUAGUUAGUGAUAGGAGAUUUGCCAGGUACCCAGGCAGAUAAUGUAGGAAGAUGAGAAUUGGUGGAUGGUGGAGAGCAAGGCCCAGGGGUGCAGGGCUGGGACUCUCUAUGAACCCAGGCUCUAGAAGGGGUGACUUAUGGGCCCUUGAUCUGUCCUGAGAGCCCACAACCACCUUGGGAGAAGGGAUUGUGACAUUUACUUGGUGCUGUGGGCGUACAAUCUCACACAAUCUAGCUCUUCUGGGUACGCUUAACAUGUCCAGAAAAGUGUGUAUAUAAAUCUUGUGCGAUUCCUGUGACCAAAACAAAGCUGUCAACUUUGAACACAUAUGUGGAAUCCCAGAGAAUGUCCACCAUGUCUUUAAGGUGGGGUACACAGGGUUAUGGAGAUACAGGUAUUCGAUGUUUCACCUUCUACCCCUCGGAAAAAAUGUUGAGCACACACCUCCAAUGUUCAUUUUUAUUUAUAAUAUAUAUAUUAUAGUUAUAAAAUACUGUGCAUAUUAUAAAGUGUAUGUUUGUAAUAGA
Leopardus geoffroyi (Geoffroy's cat) is the source of this 2014-nucleotide long non-coding RNA. RefSeq lists it as uncharacterized. The transcript has 4 exons. The record is from RefSeq and is a predicted model, not a curated record. NCBI's taxonomy places the organism in Eukaryota, Metazoa, Chordata, Mammalia, Carnivora, Felidae.